RNAcentral lists this ribosomal RNA (492 nucleotides) under uncultured bacterium. Its description in RNAcentral is "partial 16S ribosomal RNA". It matches the Rfam family "Bacterial small subunit ribosomal RNA", at positions 29 to 507 of the family's 1533-position model. The record is from RNAcentral.
AGUGAACGCUGGCGGUAGGCCUAACACAUGCAAGUCGAACGGCAGCACAGUAAGAGCUUGCUCUUACGGGUGGCGAGUGGCGGACGGGUGAGGAAUACAUCGGAAUCUACUUUUUCGUGGGGGAUAACGUAGGGAAACUUACGCUAAUACCGCAUACGACCUACGGGUGAAAGCAGGGGAGCUUCGGACCUUGCGCGAUUGAAUGAGCCGAUGUCGGAUUAGCUAGUUGGCGGGGUAAAGGCCCACCAAGGCGACGAUCCGUAGCUGGUCUGAGAGGAUGAUCAGCCACACUGGAACUGAGACACGGUCCAGACUCCUACGGGAGGCAGCAGUGGGGAAUAUUGGACAAUGGGCGAAAGCCUGAUCCAGCCAUACCGCGUGGGUGAAGAAGGCCUUCGGGUUGUAAAGCCCUUUUGUUGGGAAAGAAAAGCAGCAGGUUAAUCCCCCGAUGUUCUGACGGUACCCAAAGAAUAAGCACCGGCUAACUUCGUG